RNAcentral lists this ribosomal RNA (460 nucleotides) under uncultured bacterium. Its description in RNAcentral is "partial 16S ribosomal RNA". It matches the Rfam family "Bacterial small subunit ribosomal RNA", at positions 338 to 795 of the family's 1533-position model. The record is from RNAcentral.
CCUACGGGUGGCAGCAGUGAGGAAUAUUGGUCAAUGGGCGCUAGCCUGAACCAGCCAAGUAGCGUGAAGGAUGACUGCCCUAUGGGUUGUAAACUUCUUUUAUAUGGGAGUAAAGUGCAGUAUGUAUACUGCUUUGCAUGUAACUUAUGAAUAAGGAUCGGCUAACUCCGUGCCAGCAGCCGCGGUAAUACGGAGGAUCCGAGCGUUAUCCGGAUUUAUUGGGUUUAAAGGGAGCGUAGGCGGGUUGUUAAGUCAGUUGUGAAAGUUUGCGGCUCAACCGUAAAAUUGCAGUUGAUACUGGCAUCCUUGAGUACAGUAGAGGUAGGCGGAAUGCGUGGUGUAGCGGUGAAAUGCUUAGAGAUCACGAAGAACUCCGAUUGCGAAGGCGACUAUCUGGCACAUAACUGACGCUGAGGAGCGAAAGCGUGGGUAGCAAACAGGAUUAGAUACCCCAGUAGUC